GAGAGAUGGCCGAGCGGUUGAAGGCGCUAGUCUUGAAAACUAGUGAUACUGGAAGGUACCGGGGGUUCGAAUCCCUCUCUCUCC
RNAcentral lists this transfer RNA (84 nucleotides) under pig gut metagenome. It matches the Rfam family "tRNA". From Rfam's summary of the family: Transfer RNA (tRNA) molecules are approximately 80 nucleotides in length. Their secondary structure includes four short double-helical elements and three loops (D, anti-codon, and T loops). Further hydrogen bonds mediate the characteristic L-shaped molecular structure. tRNAs have two regions of fundamental functional importance: the anti-codon, which is responsible for specific mRNA codon recognition, and the 3' end, to which the tRNAs corresponding amino acid is attached (by aminoacyl-tRNA synthetases). tRNAs cope with the degeneracy of the genetic code in two manners: having more than one tRNA (with a specific anti-codon) for a particular amino acid; and 'wobble' base-pairing, i.e. permitting non-standard base-pairing at the 3rd anti-codon position. The record is from RNAcentral.